GCUUGUCAUUCUUACCUGUUCUCUGAAACUAAGCAGGUUGGAUCUGCUUUGCACUUGGAUGGGAGACCACUUGGGAAUCUCAGGCGCUACAAGCU
Molecule: ribosomal RNA, 95 nt
Filed under: Salvator merianae (Argentine black and white tegu)
Lineage: Eukaryota; Metazoa; Chordata; Lepidosauria; Squamata; Teiidae
Source: RNAcentral